RNA transcript from Oxyura jamaicensis (ruddy duck), 2350 nucleotides. It is a transcript of the gene named RAP1 GTPase activating protein, with no coding region annotated. The transcript is spliced from 21 exons. Lineage: Eukaryota; Metazoa; Chordata; Aves; Anseriformes; Anatidae. The record is from RefSeq and is a predicted model, not a curated record.
GGCCGCCCCCGGUGCGGGCCCGCCCCGCCCCGCCGCACGUGACGCGGCGCGGCGGCAGCGAGCGGCGGGGCCCCGCUCCGCACCGCUCCGGUACCGGCUCCGCUCUGCUCCGGUACCGACCCCGGCCCCGGCUCCGCUCCGGUACCGGCCCCGCCGCCCCCCCGGAAGCGCCAUGGGCCCCCCCGGACUCCCCCGGGCCACCUAGACGUGUCCCCAGCGGGCGCCGCCACCGCCUCGGCCACCCCACCCCGAGGGCAGCAGGAUGGCCCAGCAGCGCCACGCCGCGCCCCCCCCGCUCAAGACAGAAGAGGAUUACAUCCCCUACCCCAGCGUGCACGAGGUGCUGGGCCGGGAGGGGCCAUUCCCCCUCAUCCUGCUGCCGCAAUUCGGGGGCUACUGGAUCGAGGGCACCAACCACCAGCUGAGCGGGGCACCCGAGCCCCCCCCGACCCCGGCACCCGGCACCCGGGCCAGGCUGGAGGGCAACCACACGGCCAAGAUCUACCGCAAGCACUUCCUGGGCAAGGAGCACUUCAACUACUACUCCCUGGACCCGGCGCUGGGCCACCUCGUCUUCUCCCUCAAGUAUGACGAGCAGGAGCACCUCCACCUGCUGCUGCGCACCCGCACCCGCACCCUGCACGAUGUGGUGCCCAUCUCCUGCCUGGCCGAGUUCCCCAACGUGGUGCAGAUGGCCAAGCUGGUGUGCGAGGACGUCAACGUGGAUCGCUUCUACCCCGUGCUCUACCCCAAGGCGUCCCGCCUCAUCCUUGCCUUCGAUGAGCACGUGCUCAGCAACCACUUCAAAUUCGGCGUCAUCUACCAAAAGCUGGGGCAGACCUCCGAGGAGGAGCUCUUCGGCACCACGGAGGAGAGCCCGGCCUUCGCCGAGUUCCUCGACGUCCUGGGCCAGCGGGUGCAGCUGCGCGACUUCAAGGGGUUUCGGGGGGGGCUGGACGUGACGCACGGGCAGACGGGCAGCGAGUCGGUGUACUGCCACUUCCGCGACAAGGAGAUCAUGUUCCACGUCUCCACCAAGCUGCCCUACACCGAGGGUGAUGCCCAGCAGCUGCAGCGGAAGCGCCACAUCGGCAACGACAUCGUGGCCAUCGUCUUCCAGGACGAGAACACCCCCUUCGUGCCCGACAUGAUCGCCUCCAACUUCCUGCACGCCUUCGUGGUGGUGCAGCUGGAGCAGGGCGGCCCCCAGGGCACCCUCUACAAGGUCUCGGUCACCGCCCGCGAUGACGUGCCCUUCUUUGGCCCGCCGCUGCCCGACCCCGCCAUCUUCAGGAAGGGCCCCGAGUUCCAGGAGUUCCUGCUCACCAAGCUGAUCAACGCCGAGUACGCCUGCUACAAGGCGGAGAAGUUCGCCAAGCUGGAGGAGCGGACGCGGGCGGCGCUGCUGGAGACGCUGCACGAGGAGCUGCAGGGCCGCAGCCAGGCCAUGCUGGGGCUGGGCCCCGACGACGAGCGCCCCGACAACGGCUCCGCCGCCCCCGGCUUCUUCGAGUCCUUCAAGUCGCUGCUGGUGCCCGGGAGCCGCCGGGGACGCCGCGGCAGCGCCAUCGGGCUGGGCUCGGUGGAAGAGGCGCUGCUGGUGCCCGGGAAGAGCCCGUCCCGGCGGCGGCCCGGCCCGCUCGGCUCCCGCCGCUCCAGCGCCAUCGGCAUCGAGAGCAUCCAGGAGGCGCCGCCCGGCAGGGACGGCCCCGCCGCCAGCACCGACGGCGCCGGCUCCGGCAACAGCUCCCCCGAGAGCCGCCGGCACCCGGACAGGUCCCGUGUGGGGCACCGGGAGAGGGGACACGGGGACAUGGGGACCCGGGGAUGUGGGGACAUGGGGACACAGGGACAUGCGAACUUGGGGACGGGGUUAUGGGGACAUGGGGACACAGGGUCACACCAGCAGCCGGUGGCACAGGGAUGUGGCAGCAUGGGGACGAGAUGGCACAUGGAUGGGGUGGCACUGGGACAGGGGUGGCACAGGGACAGGGUGGCACGGGGACAAGGUUGGGGAUGUGGUGGGGUGGGGACAGCGUGGCGCUUGGGUGGCCUGGCGAUGGGGUGGCACAGGGCUGGGUGGCAUGGGGACAGGGUGGUGCGGUGACAAUGUGGGGACGGGGCGGCACGGGGAUGGGGUGACACAGGGGCGGGGUGGCCCGGGGACGGGGUGACAGGGGGCCAGGUGUGUCCCUUGGCAGGGCGGAGAGGCCGGAGCCUCCGCGGGACUUCUCCCGCUCGUCCUCCAGCGCCAGCAGCUUCGGCAGCGUGGCCGAGGAGCCGGACGAGCACCCCGAGGCCGAGCCGGGCAGGCCGCUCGCCCUCGGGGACCCCCCGCCAGCGCGACGCC